UUCGCUCAUAUUUGUAUGGAAUGGGAUCGUUUGCCUAAGUUUGCCGCUAGGGGCGCUGUUCCAACUGCAUACAAAAUUGGGCUA
Molecule: microRNA precursor, 84 nt
Filed under: Bombyx mori (domestic silkworm)
Lineage: Eukaryota; Metazoa; Arthropoda; Insecta; Lepidoptera; Bombycidae
Description: mir-2807 microRNA precursor family
Rfam family: mir-2807 microRNA precursor family
Source: Rfam by way of RNAcentral